GAUGAAGAACGCAGCGAAAUGCGAUACGUAGUGUGAAUUGCAGAAUUCCGUGAAUCAUCGAAUCUUUGAACGCACAUUGCGCCCCUUGGUAUUCCGAGGGGCAUGCCUGUUCGAGCGUCAUUACACCACUCAAGCUAUGCUUGGUAUUGGGCGUCGUCCUUAGUUGGGCGCGCCUUAAAGACCUCGGCGAGGCCACUCCGGCUUUAGGCGUAGUAGAAUUUAUUCGAACGUCUGUCAAAGGAGAGGAACUCUGCCGACUGAAACCUUUAUUUUUCUAGGUUGACCUCGGAUCAGGUAGGGAUACCCGCUGAACUUAAGCAUAUCAAUAAGCGGAGGA
Molecule: unclassified non-coding RNA, 337 nt
Filed under: soil metagenome
Description: partial contains 5.8S ribosomal RNA, internal transcribed spacer 2, and large subunit ribosomal RNA
Rfam family: 5.8S ribosomal RNA (bases 1-120)
Source: RNAcentral